Molecule: ribosomal RNA, 126 nt
Filed under: Pteropus alecto (black flying fox)
Lineage: Eukaryota; Metazoa; Chordata; Mammalia; Chiroptera; Pteropodidae
Source: RNAcentral
GUCUAAGGCCAUACCACCCUGAACAAGCCUGAUCCCAUCACCUUGGAAGCUAAGGAAGCUAAGCAGGGUUGGGCCUGGUUAGUACUUAGAUGGGAGACCACCUAGGAAGACCAGGCACUGUAGGUG